Molecule: ribosomal RNA, 971 nt
Filed under: Psychrobacter cryohalolentis
Lineage: Bacteria; Pseudomonadati; Pseudomonadota; Gammaproteobacteria; Moraxellales; Moraxellaceae
Description: bacterial SSU rRNA
Rfam family: Bacterial small subunit ribosomal RNA
Source: RNAcentral
AGCUUGCUAUCAGGCGUCGAGCGGCGGACGGGUGAGUAAUACUUAGGAAUCUACCUAGUAGUGGGGGAUAGCACGGGGAAACUCGUAUUAAUACCGCAUACGACCUACGGGAGAAAGGGGGCAGUUUACUGCUCUCGCUAUUAGAUGAGCCUAAGUCGGAUUAGCUAGAUGGUGGGGUAAAGGCCUACCAUGGCGACGAUCUGUAGCUGGUCUGAGAGGAUGAUCAGCCACACCGGGACUGAGACACGGCCCGGACUCCUACGGGAGGCAGCAGUGGGGAAUAUUGGACAAUGGGGGAAACCCUGAUCCAGCCAUGCCGCGUGUGUGAAGAAGGCCUUUUGGUUGUAAAGCACUUUAAGCAGUGAAGAAGACUCUUCGGUUAAUACCCGGAGACGAUGACAUUAGCUGCAGAAUAAGCACCGGCUAACUCUGUGCCAGCAGCCGCGGUAAUACAGAGGGUGCAAGCGUUAAUCGGAAUUACUGGGCGUAAAGGGAGCGUAGGUGGCUCGAUAAGUCAGAUGUGAAAUCCCCGGGCUCAACCUGGGAACUGCAUCUGAUACUGUUGAGCUAGAGUAUGUGAGAGGAAGGUAGAAUUCCAGGUGUAGCGGUGAAAUGCGUAGAGAUCUGGAGGAAUACCGAUGGCGAAGGCAGCCUUCUGGCAUAAUACUGACACUGAGGCUCGAAAGCGUGGGUAGCAAACAGGAUUAGAUACCCUGGUAGUCCACGCCGUAAACGAUGUCUACUAGUCGUUGGGUCCCUUGAGGACUUAGUGACGCAGCUAACGCAAUAAGUAGACCGCCUGGGGAGUACGGCCGCAAGGUUAAAACUCAAAUGAAUUGACGGGGGCCCGCACAAGCGGUGGAGCAUGUGGUUUAAUUCGAUGCAACGCGAAGAACCUUACCUGGUCUUGACAUAUCUAGAAUCCUGCAGAGAUGCGGGAGUGCCUUCGGGAAUUAGAAUACAGGUGCUGC